GGGCCUGAACCCAGGAACUUCCUUACUGAGAGAUAAAGAGGAGCCCACAUGGUCUUCGCUGGACUUACAACCUGGAGAGGCUUCAGAUGUCUACACUCUUCUCAUCGAGAGUAUCAACAGGGUAACCAUGUUUUCCCUUUGCUUCCUCCACUUUCACUUCCCCUAGUUUUAUGCAGGAAGUGCUUUGGUCCUACCAACCCUCCCUCCUGGGAGAUUCUUCUUGAGAUACUUCGGGGGAUCCACC
Molecule: long non-coding RNA, 244 nt
Organism: Myotis brandtii (Brandt's bat)
Lineage: Eukaryota; Metazoa; Chordata; Mammalia; Chiroptera; Vespertilionidae
Exons: 3
Source: RefSeq, a predicted model, not a curated record